AAUAACUACAGUAUGCUUGCAAAUGAAGAGAAGCGCACAAGAGAAAGCACAAGAUGCUUGGAGGAGGAAGAGAAGCACAGCAGAUCAGAGAGGAGGCAGCACGCCUUCUUCUGCAACAAAUAGCACAGGAUCAAGACUGUCCCAUGAAACAGGAAUUUGAAUCCUGACAGGUAUGAAGGCCAUUCUGCAUCUCUCUCCAGGAACCAGAA
This is a non-coding RNA of Phalacrocorax carbo (great cormorant), 209 nucleotides long. NCBI's taxonomy places the organism in Eukaryota, Metazoa, Chordata, Aves, Suliformes, Phalacrocoracidae. The record is from RefSeq and is a predicted model, not a curated record.